RNAcentral lists this long non-coding RNA (2048 nucleotides) under Marmota monax (woodchuck). Lineage: Eukaryota; Metazoa; Chordata; Mammalia; Rodentia; Sciuridae. The record is from RNAcentral.
AGCGUAGCAGAAAGAGAAAGUAGGUCAAUGUACAGUUGCCCUUGCAGGGGGAGAGUGGAGAGAGAAUGAGGCAGAAACAGGCUCUGAAGAAAUUGCUGAAAGCCGUGAACAUGUCAAAGCAUGCGUUCCAGACGCCAGAGUCACUGUGGGUCCCAAACACAAGGAGUUCAAACAAGCCACACUCCUCAGACAUGCACAGUACCACACACCAGUGGUGAUCAUGUGACAAACUCCUCAGGCAGGCCAGGGACAAAGCCGUUGUUACCACAAGCAAUAAUUAGGGACAGUUGAUUUUCAGGAAGGAGCAGAGAACCCAUAAAACAUUGGUAUGCUGGGGCCGGGGCUGGGGCUCAGGUAGAGCCUCGCCUUGCACAUGCGAGACCCUGGGUCGAUCCUCAGCACCACAUAAAAAUAAAUAAACAAAAUAAAGAUAUAAGAAAAAUAAAAAAUUGGAAUGCUGCUGCUAAGUGCCAUAGGCUAGAAGGACUCCGACUUUGAAUUUUACCCAGCCAGUCUGGAAUCGUGACUUCAUAAAGUACCGCCAGUGUUCAGAGGGCCUUGAAGUGCAUGUCCGCCUCUGUCAGCUGGCACACACCGGGUGCCAGAGACGGAGAUCCCAGAGCCAGGUGUCGUGGCCAGCAGGAAGCUUCUGAGGGUCAUUGUCCAGAUGGCAGAAGACCAGCUGGCUCUCUGGCCUGCUCUUGUGAGGGCACUGAUUCUGCUUGUAAGGACUCCACCCUCAUAACCUCGACAGGGUGCUGAGACACCGUCAUCUUGAGUGCUUCAUGUUUCCUGAAGUAAAGCAGAACACACAGGUCUCACGUGGCCACCACCUUGGAGAUAGCAGGCCAUUUCCCAAUGCUGUGGCAGGGAACUAGGCUUCAGCACCGAAAUAUGGGGACUACAGACCUUCAGCUCAUAACCAAUAACAUGUGAUCUGUGAGCUGGUAAACGGAUAGUAUGUGUUCCAUGUUCUUCACAUUUUAAGAGGAAAAGGACUGAUUUAAGUGUGAAUUUUCUAAAUUAAAGAUGCAUGUUUUGAUCUCAAAUAUAACCAGUAAAAGAAUAGUAAAAGAACAUGAUCUCCAAGUUAAAAGUGAAAUAAAUAAAUAAAUAAAUAAAAGGAAGGACCAAAAGCAACAAAUCAAUUCAACAGAAUGUGAAUGGAAAAGAAAAAUGUAGAGCAGGUGAGACAAACAGGAAGCAGUCAAUAACUGGGUAGAUUCUAACCUAAAUAUAUCAAUAAUUACAUGACAUGUAAAUAGAACAAAUAAUCAUAAGGCAAAAAUUAAAACCCCAAACUAUUAUUUGUGGCUUCUAAGAGAUGUGAGACAUAUAAAGGUAAGAAAACCGGAAGGAAAGGAGAAAAACUGUGUAUCUAUUCAAACAGAAAGCCUCACCACAGAUUUUGAGACAGAAUGCCCUGCUGAAGACAGAGAUCAAAGUAUAAUCUGCUGGAAGCCCCCGGAGGUGGGCCUGUACCCAGGGGCCUGCGUGGCACCCCCCGGAGGUGGGCUGUAGCACAGGGAUGAGCCUGGCACCCCCGGAGGUGGGCCUAUCCUACAGACCUAUGCUCCAGAUAACCUAGCUUCAAACUUAAAGAAAACGGGGAAAGGACUUCAAAAACAGCAAUGGGAUUUUUUUUGCACAGCACCUGGGAGAAGUAAUUUAAAGUAUCUCAUAGUUUAAUAAAUCAGGCCUAACAUAUGAAAAAUACUCCCCAACACGUGAAAAACAGUUUUUCCAACUACAUAUGAAAUAGUAACCAAAACUUGACAGGUUUUGGGCCAUAAAACAUGGAACAGAUUUUGAAAGACUGAAAUAAAAUAAAAUGUUUUUCUGAUCACAGUUCUAUUCAGUUAGAAGAAAUCAAGAGAAGAAAAAGAUAAAACUAGAUAAAUCCUUUGGAUUUAGAAUUUAAGGAAUCUAUUUCUGUACUAACUGUAUAUUUGUUGGUUUCAAUGAAUUAUUAUAAUUUUUAAUGUAUAAAAUGCAAGUGUGGUUAUAUUUGUAUAAGAGUUCUUUCAGUCACACAUGCUGAAAUAGUU